Molecule: transfer RNA, 91 nt
Filed under: Corynebacterium diphtheriae
Lineage: Bacteria; Bacillati; Actinomycetota; Actinomycetes; Mycobacteriales; Corynebacteriaceae
Description: tRNA-Ser
Rfam family: tRNA
About the family: Transfer RNA (tRNA) molecules are approximately 80 nucleotides in length. Their secondary structure includes four short double-helical elements and three loops (D, anti-codon, and T loops). Further hydrogen bonds mediate the characteristic L-shaped molecular structure. tRNAs have two regions of fundamental functional importance: the anti-codon, which is responsible for specific mRNA codon recognition, and the 3' end, to which the tRNAs corresponding amino acid is attached (by aminoacyl-tRNA synthetases). tRNAs cope with the degeneracy of the genetic code in two manners: having more than one tRNA (with a specific anti-codon) for a particular amino acid; and 'wobble' base-pairing, i.e. permitting non-standard base-pairing at the 3rd anti-codon position.
Source: RNAcentral
GGUAGCGUGUCCGAGCGGCCGAAGGUGUUCGCCUCGAAAGCGAAUGUUGGGUAAGCCCCAACCGCGGGUUCAAAUCCCGCCGCUACCGCCA